UCCGUGUGUCCCUGUCUGUCCGUGUGUCCCUGUCUGUCCGUGUGUCCCUGUCUGUCCGUGAGUCCCUGUCUGUCCGUGAGUCCGUGUGUCCCUGUCUGUCCCUGUCUGUCCGUGAGUCCCUGUCUGUCUGUGAGUCCCUGUCUGUCUGUGAGUCCCUGUCUGUCUGUGAGUCCGUGUGUCCCUGUCUGUCCGUGUGUCCCUGUCUGUCCGUGUGUCCCUGUCUGUCCGUGAGUCCCUGUCUGUCCGUGAGUCACUGUCCGUGUGUCCCUGACACUGUCUGUGUGUCCCUGUCUGUCUGUGUGUCCCUGUCUGUCUGUGUGUCCCUGUCUGUCAUCUCAAAUUGUUCUCUCAACCUGUGUCCACCUACAUUGUAAACUUUCAUUCAUAGGCCAGGUUGUAGCAACCUCAUGAAGGGUACAGGGAACAUUCUAGUAUCAUGUAGUAAACCUAAACCUAUCAUUGAACUGGGUGAAUAUGAAUGACAGUAGCCUAAACCUAUCACUGUUACAUUAAGCUGGGUGAAUGGAAUAUGAAUGACAGUAACCUAAACCUAUCACUGUUACAUUGAGCUGGGUGAAUAUGAAUGACAGUCAUCCAAUAGGCUGUAAUAAGUAAGGCCGUGCUCAUAAAGAAUAAAGAACCGUCCUCCCUCAUCUUAAACGACACUGAUCGCAACCGGCAUAUCAUUGUUUAGUUUCUUUGGCCUUCAGAGGCUGAGCUACAACCUCCUGUAGCCGAGGAGACAAACGAUUGACUUUGCUUGGGAAGUAAUCUAAUUCUUGUCACUAUCAAUUGAUUGAUUAAGCGAUUCACUUUCUGUACAACAGAAGAUGUUUAAACCCAGACAGGUUUUAAAGGGAAACACUUGUGACCUUCUCUUGUUGAGUUAAGCCAUGGAAGAAUAGUAGCCAGUAGUUAAAGUUGUCAAUGUUUCUGUGUCGGUAGGCCUACUCUGUCUGGGGUGGAAUGGUAGGCCUACUCUGUCUGGGGUGGAAUGGUAGGCCUACUCUGUCCAGGUCUACUCUGUCUGGGGUGGAAAGGUAGGCCUACUCUGUCUGGGGUGGAAAGGUAGGCCUACUCUGUCUGGGGUGGAAAGGUAGGCCUACUCUGUCUGGGGUGGAAAGGUAGGCCUACUCUGUCUGGGGUGGAAAGGUAGGCCUAACUUUUGAAAGUACCAUGCUCAGAUUCCUAAUGGCAUCUCAGACUUAAAUAUUUCCAAAUGGGGACAGUUUUGACAAUGUGAUUUUCUGGAUUUUUUUUCUCAUUUUGUCUGUCAUAGUUGAAGUGUACCUAUGAUGAAAAUUACAGGCCUCUCUCAUCUUUUUAAGUGGGAGAACUUGCACAAUUGGUGGCUGACUAAAUACUUUUUUGCCCCACUGUAGGUGUUCCUUUUGUCCAGGUGGGAAAGAGCAGUGUGGGGAGGCGAUUGAGAUUGUGUCAUCUGUGGAUCUGUUGGGGCGGCAUGUGAAUUGAAGUGGGUCUAGGGUUUCUCGGCAUGAUGGUGUUGAUGUGAGCCAUGACCAGCCUUUCAAAGCACUUCAUGGAUGUCGGCGUGACCGCUAUGGGGCGGUAGUCAUUUAGACAGGUUACCUUCACUUCCUUGGGCACAGGGACUAUGGUGGUCUGUUUGAAACAUGUAUGUAUUACAGACUCAGGGACAGGUUGAACAUUUCAGUAAACACACUUGCCAGUUGGUCCAUGCAUGCUUUGAUUGCACAUCCUGGUAAUCCGUCUGGCCCCGCGGCUUUGUGUAUGUUGACCUGUUUAAUGGCCUUGCUCACAUCAGCUACAGAGAGCGUGAUCACACAGUCGUCUGGAACAGCUGGUGCUCUCAUGCAUGCUUCAGUGUUGCUUGACUCGAAGCAAGAAUAAAAAGAAUUUUGCUCGUCUGGUAGGCUCGCGUCACUGGGAAGCUCUUGGCUGGAUUUCCAAUGCUGGAGACUCAAGGCUAUAAUUGCUUCAACAAAGUAAAGGGUCUGAAUACUUACGUAUGUAAAUGUGCAAAGUUGUAUUUUAUUUUAUACACUUGCAAAAAAAAUCUAAACUGUUUUUUGCUUUGUCAUUAUGGGGUAUUGUGUGUGUGUGUAGAUUGAUGAGGGGGGGAAAACUAUUUAAUCAGUUUUAGGAUAAGGCUGUAACGUAACCAAAUGUGGAAAAAGUCAAGGGGUCUGAAUACUUUCUGUGUGCUCUGGUAGCUCUCUAAGGUAUACGAUAACUAACGUGACAAGGGCAACAGAUGACGCGACACUCAAUUUCGAAAGUGCACCUUGUACGUUCUACUUUCAAGAGUAAGUUUAAAGCCCCCCUGAGUUCCUUA
Oncorhynchus tshawytscha (Chinook salmon) is the source of this 2317-nucleotide long non-coding RNA. NCBI's taxonomy places the organism in Eukaryota, Metazoa, Chordata, Actinopteri, Salmoniformes, Salmonidae. The record is from Ensembl.